GGGGACUUCGGUCCGCCGGCGAGUGGCGAACGGGUGAGUAAAGUAUCGGAACGUACCUUUCAGUGGGGGAUAACGUAGCGAAAGUUACGCUAAUACCGCAUAUUCUGUGAGCAGGAAAGCAGGGGAUCGCAAGACCUUGCGCUGAUUGAGCGGCCGAUAUCAGAUUAGCUAGUUGGUGGGGUAAAGGCCUACCAAGGCGACGAUCUGUAGCGGGUCUGAGAGGAUGAUCCGCCACACUGGAACUGAGACACGGUCCAGACUCCUACGGGAGGCAGCAGUGGGGAAUUUUGGACAAUGGGGGCAACCCUGAUCCAGCCAUGCCGCGUGAGUGAAGAAGGCCUUCGGGUUGUAAAGCUCUUUCGGCCGGGAAGAAAUCGCACAGGCUAAUACCCUGUGUGGAUGACGGUACCGGAAUAAGAAGCACCGGCUAACUACGUGCCAGCAGCCGCGGUAAUACGUAGGGUGCGAGCGUUAAUCGGAAUUACUGGGCGUAAAGCGUGCGCAGGCGGUUUCGUAAGACAGAGGUGAAAUCCCCGGGCUCAACCUGGGAACUGCCUUUGUGACUGCGAGGCUAGAGUAC
Molecule: ribosomal RNA, 580 nt
Filed under: uncultured Dechloromonas sp.
Lineage: Bacteria; Pseudomonadati; Pseudomonadota; Betaproteobacteria; Rhodocyclales; Azonexaceae
Description: bacterial SSU rRNA
Rfam family: Bacterial small subunit ribosomal RNA
Source: RNAcentral